ACGAACGCUGGCGGCGUGCCUAAUACAUGCAAGUAGAACGCUGAAGGAGGAGCUUGCUUCUCUGGAUGAGUUGCGAACGGGUGAGUAACGCGUAGGUAACCUGCCUGUUAGCGGGGGAUAACUAUUGGAAACGAUAGCUAAUACCGCAUAAGAGUAGAUGUUGCAUUGCAUUUGCUUAAAAGGUUCAAUUGCAUCGCUAUCAGAUCGACCUUCGUUGUAUUAGCGAUGUGGUGGGGUAACGGCUGACCAAGGCGACGAUACAGAGCCGACCUGAGAGGGUGAUCGGCCAGGCUGGGACGGAGAAACGGCCCAGACUCCUACGGGAGGCAGCAGUAGGGAAUCUUGGGCAAUAGACGGAAGUCUGACCGAGCAACGCCGCGUGAGUGAAGAAGGUUUUCGGAUCGUAAAGCUCUGUUGUAAGGGAAGAACGAGUGUGAGAGUGGAAAGUUCACACUGUGACGGUAUCUUAGCAGAAAGGGACGGCUAACUACGUG
This 494-nucleotide ribosomal RNA is filed under the name uncultured bacterium. RNAcentral describes it as "partial 16S ribosomal RNA". It matches the Rfam family "Bacterial small subunit ribosomal RNA", at positions 29 to 507 of the family's 1533-position model. The record is from RNAcentral.